Molecule: long non-coding RNA, 488 nt
Organism: Nelumbo nucifera (sacred lotus)
Lineage: Eukaryota; Viridiplantae; Streptophyta; Magnoliopsida; Proteales; Nelumbonaceae
Source: RefSeq, a predicted model, not a curated record
AUUCGUAUAUGUAUUCCGGAGAGAGAAAACAGCCCGCUCGUCUCUCUCGUUCGAGUGCAAGAUUCACACGUGAUCUUGAACAAAUGGAGGAUUAGAGGUCUUCCAACUCGAGUUCAGAUCUGCUACAAACUACUCUCACAACAUCGUUCCAAUAAGUCACUGCAACCGUACAUCGGGAACAUCUCCGGCGAUACUUCCAAUGCACGCUGAGAUGUGCGAGUGGGGCGCCAAUCCUAACUCCUCCAAUUUCAUCCUUCCUCCGUCUAGGGGAUUUGGGGACGUUGCAUCAUAUUCUCUGAGGAAGCUACAAGUGAGCAAUGGUUGAUAGAGACACCUUGUUGAAAGUCAUCAUUUGCAGUCUGUGCAUUGGAAUUGGAACAAGAGAAUAUCAUUAUUAAUGCACUCAUUGCAGCUUAUGCAGAUGAUCUUUACAAUGCCGAGUUAAUUAAAGAAUUAAAUUCCUCUGCAAAUGCAAGAAUAGAUAAGCU